RNAcentral lists this ribosomal RNA (694 nucleotides) under uncultured Planctomycetales bacterium. RNAcentral's name for it is "bacterial SSU rRNA". It matches the Rfam family "Bacterial small subunit ribosomal RNA", at positions 94 to 824 of the family's 1533-position model. Lineage: Bacteria; Pseudomonadati; Planctomycetota; Planctomycetia; Planctomycetales. The record is from RNAcentral.
AGUGGCGGAAGGGUCAGUAAUGGGAUCGAAUGUACCCCGAGGUGGAGGAUAGCGUUGGGAAACUAACGGUAAUACUCCAUGUCCUCUACGGAGAAAAGAUUUAUCGCUUGGGAGCAGCGAUCCUCCUAUCAGGUAGUUGGCGGGGUAAAAGCCCACCAAGCCGAAGACGGGUAGCGGGUGUGAGAGCACGGCCCGCGACAUCGAGACUGAGACACUGCUCGGACUCCUACGGGAGGCUGCAGUAACGAAUAUUCCGCAAUGCGCGAAAGCGUGACGGAGCAAUGCCGCGUGCAGGAUGAAGCGGUUUUGCCGUGUAAACUGCUGUCAGGGAUAAGAAAUACUGAUCUAUCCCAGAGGAAGGGGCGACUAACUCUGUGCCAGCAGUCGCGGUAAUACAGAGGCCCCGAGCGUUAAUCGGAAUCACUGGGCUUAAAGGGUGCGUAGGCGGGCCAGUAAGCGCUUUGUGAAAUCCCACGGCUCAACCGUGGAACCGCAGGGCGAACUGCUGGUCUUGAGGAAGCUAGAGGCGGGUAGAACGAUAGGUGGAGCGGUGGAAUGCGUAGAGAUCUAUCGGAAUGCCGAAAGUGAAGACAGCCCGCUGGGGCUUUCCUGACGCUAAAGCACGAAAGCGUGGGGAGCAAACCGGAUUAGAUACCCNGGUAGUCCUCGCCCUAAACGAUGUGCACUAGACUGG